Molecule: long non-coding RNA, 237 nt
Filed under: Phoenix dactylifera (date palm)
Lineage: Eukaryota; Viridiplantae; Streptophyta; Magnoliopsida; Arecales; Arecaceae
Description: long non-coding RNA (PDAC_LNC007815)
Source: RNAcentral
UCCAACAAGAGAGUAGUAUUUGAUGAUGAUGCAGGAAUAAUUGAAGAAAAGAUGGAUCACAUGACUCUACAAGAGGAUGAACCCAAGCAAGUUGAAGAAACUACAACAAGCCAAGAUGUAAUUGCCGAACAUGGGCUUACAAAGGCUUGGAGGUAUGCUCACGGUCAUCCUAAAGAAUUAAUCUUAGAUGAUCCAUCUCAACCUGUUAGAACAAGAGCCUCUCUUAGGAACUUAAAU